Unclassified non-coding RNA from Cercocebus atys (sooty mangabey), 112 nucleotides. It matches the Rfam family "Y RNA". From Rfam's summary of the family: Y RNAs are components of the Ro ribonucleoprotein particle (Ro RNP), in association with Ro60 and La proteins. The Y RNAs and Ro60 and La proteins are well conserved, but the function of the Ro RNP is not known. The record is from Ensembl. NCBI's taxonomy places the organism in Eukaryota, Metazoa, Chordata, Mammalia, Primates, Cercopithecidae.
GGCUGGCCCAAGGUAGUGAGUUAUCUCAAUUGAUUGUUCACAGUCAGUUACAGAUCAAACUCCUUGUUCCACUCUUUCUCUCCUUCUCACUAGUGUGCUGGACUAGUCUUAG